UCUGAAGAAGCGUCUUCUGUGUUGGACCGUGUACAAGUCUCUUGGAACAGGGCGUCAUAGAGGGUGAGAAUCCCGUCUUUGACACGGACUACCAAUGCUUUGUGAUGCGCUCUCAAA
This 117-nucleotide ribosomal RNA is filed under the name Tomentella sp. Its description in RNAcentral is "partial large subunit ribosomal RNA". It matches the Rfam family "Eukaryotic large subunit ribosomal RNA", at positions 149 to 261 of the family's 3401-position model. The record is from RNAcentral. Lineage: Eukaryota; Fungi; Basidiomycota; Agaricomycetes; Thelephorales; Thelephoraceae.